CCUACGGGGGGCAGCAGUGAGGAAUAUUGGUCAAUGGGCGCGAGCCUGAACCAGCCAAGUAGCGUGAAGGAUGACUGCCCUACGGGUUGUAAACUUCUUUUAUAAAGGAAUAAAGUGAGGCACGUGUGCCUUUUUGUAUGUACUUGAUGAAUAAGGAUCGGCUAACUCCGUGCCAGCAGCCGCGGUAAUACGGAGGAUCCGAGCGUUAUCCGGAUUUAUUGGGUUUAAAGGGAGCGUAGAUGGGUUGUUAAGUCAGUUGUGAAAGGUUGCGGCUCAACCGUAAAAUUGCAAUUGAUACUGGCAGUCUUGAGUACGGUUGAGGUAGGCGGAAUUCGUGGUGUAGCGGUGAAAUGCUUAGAUAUCGCGAAGAACUCCGAUUGCGAAGGCAGCUUACUAAACUGCCACUGACAUUGAGGCUCGAAAGUGUGGGUAUCGAACAGGAUUAGAUACCCUAGUAGUC
This 460-nucleotide ribosomal RNA is filed under the name uncultured bacterium. Its description in RNAcentral is "partial 16S ribosomal RNA". It matches the Rfam family "Bacterial small subunit ribosomal RNA", at positions 338 to 795 of the family's 1533-position model. The record is from RNAcentral.